This 253-nucleotide ribosomal RNA is filed under the name uncultured bacterium. Its description in RNAcentral is "partial 16S ribosomal RNA". It matches the Rfam family "Bacterial small subunit ribosomal RNA", at positions 524 to 776 of the family's 1533-position model. The record is from RNAcentral.
UACGGGGGGGGCAAGCGUUGUUCGGAAUUACUGGGCGUAAAGGGUUCGUAGGUGGUCUGCUAAGUCAGACGUGAAAUCCCUCAGCUUAACUGGGGAACUGCGUCUGAUACUGGCGGACUUGAGGACAGGAGAGGAACGCGGAAUUCCAGGUGUAGCGGUGAAAUGCGUAGAUAUCUGGAGGAACACCGGUGGCGAAGGCGGCGUUCUGGACUGUUUCUGACACUGAGGAACGAAAGCCAGGGGAGCAAACGGG